UCUACAAAAAGCCUUAAUAUUUACAAAAAUUAGUCUAGUUUAUAUAAUUAGGGUAAUGUGAAAAACGCUUUAUUUUCUCUUUGUCAAAACUUGAUUGAUAACUUCACUGUUUUUAAAUUUUUAAUUAUACUGGACCAAUUUAACAUUUUCACUGCACUACUUCCUUUUUAAUUGAUCAGGGAACUCAGUACGUAGGACAAGGCAUGAAUUUUGAAAAAGUAAUGAGUGAUUUGUAACAAUAUUUUGGUGCUUUUUAUUGCCCUACAAUACAAAUUUCUAAUUUCAUAAUAAGUUUGAUUUUGGGAAAUAAAAUGUGAAUGAGGAAAGAUUUUUGAGGAAAUAUUAUAAUGAAUUCCUAAUUUACCUCUCUAAAUUUCUUUUUACGCCUGGAAGAAAAUGAAGACAAUAUAGAAUUAGCCUAGUUUACUAAGCAUGAAAUUCUUCCAAAAUGUUCCGGAAAUAGUUUAUUUUUAGGUUUUUCAUAUACUACUUUCAAUUCGAGAAGCAAAUUAUUUUCGUUAAUGUGGAAUUAUUCAAUCUUUUAAAGAUUUUAUUUCUAAUUAGUAACAUCCCAGAAGCUCGUAAAUAUCAACAUUCUUCUUUUAUUUUUUUGAAAGUGAAACCUACUCUGCAGUAACCUAUUCAAGUUAUUCCCUCAGUAAUUUUUUAAUUAUCUGUUUAUGCUGAAGAUUUGGUUCACCUGGAAUUGGUGCGUAAAGUUUUCAAAUCAAUCAAUCAUUUAAAGCACUAAUUAGAAACAUUUCAUAAAUGAUUUGGUGUUAAAACAUUUAACUCUACUAAUUGCACCAAGGUUACAGAGUCAAUGCUAAAAAUUAAUUUUAUUUUUGAAAAAAAAAUCAUGCAAUUUUUGGUGCAUUUUUGAAUAGAGAAGACACGUUUUUUUUGUUAGCGGAAAUUGCAGAAAUUCAUUUGAAAAUUCUCGUGUGGAAUACGUAAAACAUUAUUUAUAUUGGUAAUAGUGUCGUAAAUAUUGAAGAGGUGUGUGACUGAAAUAUUUUAGAGAGAGUCUCUUGUGUGCUUGCAUGUGAUAUAAUUAAUUUGUAUGGGGAAUUUGUUCGCUCUGACACCUUGACUAUAAUAAAAAAUAAAUAAAUAGGAAAAUUGAGAGGAAAAUAAUUAAACUGGAUUCUGAAAGAUAAAAUUCUGGUCUUUUUUCGUGUUUAGUCCGCCCCACGGGUAAAAUUCGCACCGGAGCCCCAAGUUGUCCAUACACCAACGAGUCAAACAUCUCAGAACUACCCAAAUCCCAAUCCCCUGCAGCGCUCAAAGAGCCUCUCGUCGGCAGAUACCAUUGCACGCGGAAUUGCCGGAUUGGGCCUGGCGCUAGGAAAUGAAGCUACGGACUUUGGUACAUUUCCGCCAGAAGUACAGUCACUGGUGGACAAAGCCACGGAAGAUCCCAACCAACUGAAUGCGCGAAAUCUGAUGGAAUUGGCUUGUCAUGUGAUGCAGAGAGCCGUGGAAGCUCGAAGAUAUGCGCUUCCCAUUUCCCGCUUGUGCAUUGGCAUUGUGGCUAAGGAGAGGAAAGAAACCUUCCUCGAAGCACUUCUCAACACUUGCCGGCAGUGGUUCCAAGAGAGGGAUAAGGUAUUUAUUCUUUUCCCAUUUACAAUACAUUUUCUCUUCUCGCUCAAUCAAUUUUUAUAUGUCUUAUUAUUUGAGGAACUGCACAGAGACAUGACAGAUUUAUCGCAAGGUCAAUAAAAGAGUUUCUGGGUAGUUGAAGAUGAAAAAAAAAAAUAAAGUUUUGAGUCAUUCUUUAACACCUUAGAGAGAAAUGAAGUCAUUUAGCGCUUGUUGAACACCUUUUUCUGGUUUUUUUUUGCAACAAUUCACCUACCCACAAGAUCACAGAUAACUUUGAGGCAUUAUUAAAUUCAAAGCCACGGUAACAAUGACAAAAA
This is a long non-coding RNA of Phlebotomus papatasi, 1925 nucleotides long. RefSeq lists it as uncharacterized. The record is from RefSeq and is a predicted model, not a curated record. The transcript has 2 exons. Lineage: Eukaryota; Metazoa; Arthropoda; Insecta; Diptera; Psychodidae.